Molecule: ribosomal RNA, 638 nt
Filed under: uncultured bacterium
Lineage: Bacteria
Description: bacterial SSU rRNA
Rfam family: Bacterial small subunit ribosomal RNA
Source: RNAcentral
GGAGAAGCUUGCUUCUUUGCUGACGAGUGGCGGACGGGUGAGUAAUGCUUGGGAAUCUGGCUUAUGGAGGGGGAUAACUACGGGAAACUGUAGCUAAUACCGCGUAAUAUCUUCGGAUUAAAGGGUGGGACUUUCGGGCCACCUGCCAUAAGAUGAGCCCAAGUGGGAUUAGGUAGUUGGUGGGGUAAAGGCCUACCAAGCCGACGAUCUCUAGCUGGUCUGAGAGGAUGACCAGCCACACUGGAACUGAGACACGGUCCAGACUCCUACGGGAGGCAGCAGUGGGGAAUAUUGCACAAUGGGGGGAACCCUGAUGCAGCCAUGCCGCGUGAAUGAAGAAGGCCUUCGGGUUGUAAAGUUCUUUCGGUGAUGAGGAAGGUGUUUGUUUUAAUAGAGCAAGCAAUUGACGUUAGUCACAGAAGAAGCACCGGCUAACUCCGUGCCAGCAGCCGCGGUAAUACGGAGGGUGCGAGCGUUAAUCGGAAUGACUGGGCGUAAAGGGCACGCAGGCGGUGACUUAAGUGAGAUGUGAAAGCCCCGAGCUUAACUUGGGAAUUGCAUUUCAUACUGGGUCGCUAGAGUACUUUAGGGAGGGGUAGAAUUCCUCGUGUAGCGGUGAAAUGCGUAGAGAUGUGGAG